This 115-nucleotide unclassified non-coding RNA is filed under the name uncultured Glomeromycotina. RNAcentral describes it as "sequence contains ITS1". The record is from RNAcentral. Lineage: Eukaryota; Fungi; Glomeromycota.
CCAAUCUUUUAGCGGGCCUUGGGUUCGUCCAUGGUCUCGCGAAACUUUGUAUUUAAAACCCGCUCAUGUAAAUUUUUUGAACUUAUAUAUAUUUGUAUUAUCAUAUAAAUAAAGA